RNAcentral lists this ribosomal RNA (118 nucleotides) under Periophthalmus magnuspinnatus. Lineage: Eukaryota; Metazoa; Chordata; Actinopteri; Gobiiformes; Gobiidae. The record is from RNAcentral.
ACCUGUGGCCAUACCUGCUCUUCAAUACCCAAUUUCAUCAGAUCUCAGAAGCUAAGCAAGGCCAGGCCUGGUUAGUAAGUGGAUGGGAGACCACUGUGAAUAGGAGGAGCUGCAGUGG